UGACUAUCACUUACCCAGUAUCGAGUUGACGCGCGGAUCGAUGCCGAGAAGGUUGAGCGGACUGACGGCAAGGGCGAGCACGCGGUAGGCGCACUUGAAUGCCUGUUGCACCUGGAAGACGCCGUAGCUGCUUCGACCGAUAUCAUUGCCUGGCGUCAGCGGAUCCUCGAUGCACAGGAGCGAGGGUCGAUGGCCAUCGACCAUGUCACGCUGCAGCUCAUCCUUGGGCAUGUAGCGGCCACCGUUCUUUAUGGAGAUGCCGAUCUUCAUGUAGUUGAAGCGACGUCCAUAAAGUUCGAAGAACUCGAGGAGAAGCACCCCCAGAUUGGCUGUAUCGUGGUAGAUACCGCGCGGAUGCAUCUGCAGGAAGCUGAUGCACAUAAGGAUCAGCGAGUAGGAGGAGAUGCCGCCCGUGAACACCUCGUUGAGAUCGCGAAGUAGUAAGAACUGCUUCAGCACAAGCACUAGCUUCUCCAGCACUGGAUAGUCGCGCUUAAACUUCUUAAUCAGCUCCGCCGACUGAACACCACUCUGCAUGUUGAACGAUAUGUCUACCUUCACUUGCGUUUCCCGGUCCGUCAGCUUGAUGAUGGGCACUGAUGCCUUGUCCAGAACACGCACCGUACAAGCCUCGGCGAUACCACGGCUCACUAGCUCGAACUCCAGCGUUCUCAGCGGCAGCUUCUCCCACAAACCUGAAAGUAAAUUGAAGAGAUUAGGAUAAGAUAAUAAAGCCAAUGCAUAAAUAAAAAGUCAAUGCAUGUGGGGGCC
This is a non-coding RNA of Drosophila melanogaster (fruit fly), 771 nucleotides long. The record is from Ensembl. Lineage: Eukaryota; Metazoa; Arthropoda; Insecta; Diptera; Drosophilidae.